UGCAGUCGAGCGAACAGAGAAGGAGCUUGCUCCUUUGACGUUAGCGGCGGACGGGUGAGUAACACGUGGGCAACCUACCUUAUAGUUUGGGAUAACUCCGGGAAACCGGGGCUAAUACCGAAUAAUCUAUUUCACUUCAUGGUGAAAUACUGAAAGACGGUUUCGGCUGUCGCUAUAAGAUGGGCCCGCGGCGCAUUAGCUAGUUGGUGAGGUAACGGCUCACCAAGGCGACGAUGCGUAGCCGACCUGAGAGGGUGAUCGGCCACACUGGGACUGAGACACGGCCCAGACUCCUACGGGAGGCAGCAGUAGGGAAUCUUCCACAAUGGGCGAAAGCCUGAUGGAGCAACGCCGCGUGAGUGAAGAAGGUUUUCGGAUCGUAAAACUCUGUUGUAAGGGAAGAACAAGUACAGUAGUAACUGGCUGUACCUUGACGGUACCUUAUUAGAAAGCCACGGCUAACUACGUGCCAGCAGCCGCGGUAAUACGUAGGUGGCAAGCGUUGUCCGGAAUUAUUGGGCGUAAAGCGCGCGCAGGCGGUCCUUUAAGUCUGAUGUGAAAGCCCACGGCUCAACCGUGGAGGGUCAUUGGAAACUGGGGGACUUGAGUGCAGAAGAGGAAAGUGGAAUUCCAAGUGUAGCGGUGAAAUGCGUAGAGAUUUGGAGGAACACCAGUGGCGAAGGCGACUUUCUGGUCUGUAACUGACGCUGAGGCGCGAAAGCGUGGGGAG
This 730-nucleotide ribosomal RNA is filed under the name Lysinibacillus macroides. RNAcentral's name for it is "bacterial SSU rRNA". It matches the Rfam family "Bacterial small subunit ribosomal RNA", at positions 56 to 768 of the family's 1533-position model. Lineage: Bacteria; Bacillati; Bacillota; Bacilli; Caryophanales; Bacillaceae. The record is from RNAcentral.